Molecule: ribosomal RNA, 301 nt
Filed under: uncultured bacterium
Lineage: Bacteria
Description: partial 16S ribosomal RNA
Rfam family: Bacterial small subunit ribosomal RNA
Source: RNAcentral
CAGUCGCCGCGGGAAUACGUAGGUGGCAAGCGUUGUCCGGAUUUAUUGGGCGUAAAGCGAGCGCAGGCGGUUUCUUAAGUCUGAUGUGAAAGCCCCCAGCUCAACCGGGGAGGGUCAUUGGAAACUGGGAAACUUGAGUGCAGAAGAGGAGAGUGGAAUUCCAUGUGUAGCGGUGAAAUGCGUAGAUAUAUGGAGGAACACCAGUGGCGAAGGCGGCUCUCUGGUCUGUAACUGACGCUGAGGCUCGAAAGCGUGGGGAGCAAACAGGAUUAGAUACCCCCGUAGUCCCUGUCUCUUAUAC